GUUGGCCCACCGGAUUCGUGGCAGGCUCUGUGAAAUUGCAGUCUUACGUCUGUGUCAAAUUUCAACUUACAUUCGUGACAUUCGUACUGUGGAAGUGGGCCUAUAUCUUCGUCUGAGUCUAUAGAUUCUAUUGGACUGAUCGAAUGUGGGAGUAGAGAACGAACACUGUUUUGAAUCCGGUGUGCUAAUGAUAUAAUAGAGAUGAUUUGGAGAAUUGGAAUAGAAUCAUUUUGAAAAUUGGCAAAUUAUUCCCAACAUGAAAAAUUGGUUUUUCGAAAAAUCAGGAGGCAGCUAAUACGAUGUUUCUGUGUGGUACGGGGUAUCGAUGCACCCCGCACAGCUGGGAAGCGGCCUCGGACAAAAUGAUGACCAGAGUCUUCUUCCGAGGAGAUAUGGAAUGUUCUGUGGCACGUUACAGUUUAAUUAACUAAAGUACGUUUGCGGUCGAGUGCUAUUAUGGAAGGACAGCUACUUACAUUUAUACGUGUGUAUACAUAUAUGUAUAAUAUUUAUGUACCUAUAAUAUACCUGUGAGUUUUAAGCGUUGCAAGACA
RNAcentral lists this unclassified non-coding RNA (554 nucleotides) under Athalia rosae (coleseed sawfly). Its description in RNAcentral is "misc RNA ENSAEAG00005009958.1". Lineage: Eukaryota; Metazoa; Arthropoda; Insecta; Hymenoptera; Athaliidae. The record is from RNAcentral.